This 434-nucleotide ribosomal RNA is filed under the name uncultured bacterium. RNAcentral describes it as "partial 16S ribosomal RNA". It matches the Rfam family "Bacterial small subunit ribosomal RNA", at positions 29 to 507 of the family's 1533-position model. The record is from RNAcentral.
ACGAACGCUGGCGGCAGGCUUCACACAUGCAAGUCGCACGCAUGCCUUCGGGCAUGAGUGGCAGACGGGUGAGUAACGCGUGGGAACCUACCCCUUGGUACGGGAUAGCUCCGGGAAACUGGAGAUAAUACCGUAUGUGUCCUGAGGGACAAAGAUUCAUCGCCAAGGGAUGGGCCCGCGUCGGAUUAGCUAGUUGGUGGGGUAACGGCCUACCAAGGCGACGAUCCGUAGCUGGUCUAAGAGGAUGAUCAGCCACAUUGGGACUGAGACACGGCCCAAACUCCUACGGGAGGCAGCAGUGGGGAAUAUUGGACAAUGGGCGCAAGCCUGAUCCAGCCAUGCCGCGUGAGUGAUGAAGGCCCUAGGGUUGUAAAGCUCUUUCACCGGUGACGAUAAUGACGGUAACCGGAGAAGAAGCCCCGGCUAACUUCGUG